UCCGUAGGUGGAUCAAUCAGUCAGAGGUGAAAUCCUGCAGCUUAACUGUAGAACUGCCUUUGAUACUGCUGAUCUUGAGUCAUUAUGAAGUGGUUAGAAUGUGUAGUGUAGCGGUGAAAUGCAUAGAUAUUACACAGAAUACCGAUUGCGAAGGCAGAUCACUAAUAAUGUACUGACACUGAGGGACGAAAGCGUGGGGAGCGAACAGGAUUAGAUACCCUGGUAGUC
Molecule: ribosomal RNA, 228 nt
Filed under: uncultured bacterium
Lineage: Bacteria
Description: partial 16S ribosomal RNA
Rfam family: Bacterial small subunit ribosomal RNA
Source: RNAcentral